Coccinella septempunctata (seven-spotted ladybird) is the source of this 323-nucleotide long non-coding RNA. RefSeq lists it as uncharacterized. The transcript is spliced from 2 exons. The record is from RefSeq and is a predicted model, not a curated record. NCBI's taxonomy places the organism in Eukaryota, Metazoa, Arthropoda, Insecta, Coleoptera, Coccinellidae.
AACUGCGGAUAUUCAAGGUUUUCAAUUUUUUCUAGGGAGAAAACAUUCAAGAAGCUGCCUACAAUAUGGAUUGGUACGACAUGGAUAAGGCAAUGAAUAAAGAAUACUUAAUUUUUCUUAUGAAACUUCAGCGGCCGCAUGAGUUGCAAUCAUUUAUAUUUGUUCUGCAGAAGCCAUUGUUUCUUCAGCUGAUGCGAAGCGUUUACUCAUUCUUCAUGUUGAUGUACCAAAUGAAUUGAGGAUUGGAUAUUAUCCUCUGCACAACUGAGAAUGAUUUUAAAUUUCUGAUUGUUCAAACAGAAUUCAAUAUAUUUGCUUUAAUU